This 430-nucleotide ribosomal RNA is filed under the name Pseudomonadota bacterium. RNAcentral's name for it is "Proteobacteria bacterium partial 16S ribosomal RNA". It matches the Rfam family "Bacterial small subunit ribosomal RNA", at positions 355 to 776 of the family's 1533-position model. Lineage: Bacteria; Pseudomonadati; Pseudomonadota. The record is from RNAcentral.
UGGGGAAUAUUGGACAAUGGGGGGAACCCUGAUCCAGCCAUGCCGCGUGUGUGAAGAAGGCCUUAUGGUUGUAAAGCACUUUAAGCGAGGAGGAGGGUACUGGUAUUAAUACUACCAGGUACUGGACGUUACUCGCAGAAUAAGCACCGGCUAACUCUGUGCCAGCAGCCGCGGUAAUACAGAGGGUGCGAGCGUUAAUCGGAUUUACUGGGCGUAAAGCGUGCGUAGGCGGCUAAUUGAGUCGGAUGUGAAAUCCCCGAGCUUAACUUGGGAAUUGCAUUCGAUACUGGUUAGCUAGAGUGUGGGAGAGGAUGGUAGAAUUCCAGGUGUAGCGGUGAAAUGCGUAGAGAUCUGGAGGAAUACCGAUGGCGAAGGCAGCCAUCUGGCUUAACACUGACGCUGAGGUACGAAAGCAUGGGGAGCAAACAGG